CCAGCAGCCGCGGUAAUACGUAGGGGGCCAGCGUUGUUCGGAAUUACUGGGUGUAAAGGGUUCGUAGGCGGUGUGGCAAGUCGGGAGUGAAAUCUCCCGGCUUAACUGGGAGGGAGCGCCGAAAACUGCGGGGCUUGAGAGUGGGAGAGGUAAGCGGAAUUCCUGGUGUAGCGGUGAAAUGCGCAGAUAUCAGGAGGAACACCGGUGGCGAAGGCGCCACUCUGGGCCGGAACUGACGCUGAGGAGCGAAAGCGUGGGUAGCAAACAGGAUUAGAUACCCUGGUA
RNAcentral lists this ribosomal RNA (285 nucleotides) under uncultured Acidobacteriota bacterium. RNAcentral's name for it is "uncultured Acidobacteria bacterium partial 16S ribosomal RNA". It matches the Rfam family "Bacterial small subunit ribosomal RNA", at positions 508 to 792 of the family's 1533-position model. The record is from RNAcentral. Lineage: Bacteria; Pseudomonadati; Acidobacteriota.